This is a regulatory RNA element of Synechococcus sp. RS9916, 58 nucleotides long. It matches the Rfam family "psbNH RNA". Lineage: Bacteria; Bacillati; Cyanobacteriota; Cyanophyceae; Synechococcales; Synechococcaceae. The record is from Rfam.
GGUUCAGGUUCGGUCUGGAUACUGUAGGGGUCCUGGUCCUGAUAAGGCCGAACCUGUC